This 253-nucleotide ribosomal RNA is filed under the name uncultured bacterium. RNAcentral describes it as "partial 16S ribosomal RNA". It matches the Rfam family "Bacterial small subunit ribosomal RNA", at positions 524 to 776 of the family's 1533-position model. The record is from RNAcentral.
UACGUAGGGUGCGAGCGUUAAUCGGAAUUACUGGGCGUAAAGCGUGCGCAGGCGGUUUUGUAAGCCAGAUGGGAAAUCCCCGGGCUUAACCUGGGAAUGGCAUUUGGGACUGCAAGGCUGGAGUGCGGCAGAGGAGACUGGAAUUCCUGGUGUAGCAGUGAAAUGCGUAGAUAUCAAGAGGAACACCAGUGGCGAAGGCGAGUCCCUGGACAACUUCUGACGCUGAGGCACGAAAGCCAGGGGAGCGAACGGG